Molecule: ribosomal RNA, 303 nt
Filed under: uncultured bacterium
Lineage: Bacteria
Description: partial 16S ribosomal RNA
Rfam family: Bacterial small subunit ribosomal RNA
Source: RNAcentral
AGCAGCCGCCGCGGGAAUACGAAGGGUGCGAGCGUUACUCGGAAUUACUGGGCGUAAAGCGUGCGUAGGUGGUGGUUUAAGUCCGUUGUGAAAGCCCUGGGCUCAACCUGGGAAUUGCAGUGGAUACUGGGCGACUAGAGUGCGGUAGAGGAUAGUGGAAUUUCCGGUGUAGCAGUGAAAUGCGUAGAGAUCGGAAGGAACAUCAGUGGCGAAGGCGGCCAUCUGGGACAACACUGACGCUGAGGCACGAAAGCGUGGGGAGCAAACAGGAUUAGAUACCCCUGUAGUCCCUGUCUCUUAUAC